Molecule: small nucleolar RNA, 135 nt
Organism: Malania oleifera
Lineage: Eukaryota; Viridiplantae; Streptophyta; Magnoliopsida; Santalales; Ximeniaceae
Product: small nucleolar RNA snoR77
Exons: 1
Source: RefSeq, a predicted model, not a curated record
AGGCAUCCUCCUUGUGACAGCAAUGAUGUUGUUAACCUGCUCAUAAAUUAAUGCAUCUUUUGCUCUUCAGAUUUGUUGAGAUGGUCUUUUAUUCAUUUCCAUUAUUGAAGCUAGUCUAGUAGGCUGAGGAACAUU